Long non-coding RNA from Pteropus alecto (black flying fox), 1314 nucleotides. RefSeq lists it as uncharacterized. The record is from RefSeq and is a predicted model, not a curated record. The transcript is spliced from 3 exons. NCBI's taxonomy places the organism in Eukaryota, Metazoa, Chordata, Mammalia, Chiroptera, Pteropodidae.
ACACAACCUCGGAAUCUGGUUUACAUGGGCAUUCAUAGGAAAAUCUCUCCAUUUACCCCUUAGGUUUUACCUUCCCUUCUCAUCAUCUUUUACACUCGGUCCAAUCGGAUUUGUGUUUAUUUAAAAUCCAACCCCCUCUGUUAGACUCAGUUCCUGCUGUCAGCCAUCCACCAGGCCUGAUGAAUCCAGAGUUCUGUUUCCAGCUUUGGUCUGGUUGGGGUGAUUCACAAAGAAGCCCCAGGGGAGGAGGAGGAUGCACUCAGCAGGGUCUAUUAGUGUCUGUGAAGAGAGCUGGGAAGAAAUGCUGCUGCCUGAGGUGGGGGAGUGGAGCCGGGCCUCCCUGAUGACUCCUGCCCCAGACUUUCCCCUCUAGAACUCACAGCCUUGUGGAGGAAACAUGCAAGUCAGCGGACAGUAGAAAAAGAGUGAUAAGUACAAUGGCAGACCAAGAAUGGGGAGUUCAGGAGCCCAAAGGACCAAGUGAUAAGCCCUGCCUAAAGAAACCCAGGAAAGAAGACCUUUAAUCAACCAAUGGCCACUGCAUUCCGGGUCAUGUGAAGCAUGGAGGUACAGAGGAAUAACAGCCAAUAUUUUGUGGUUGUUCCCUUAUGUACUCUUGAGAAAUGUCGCUGAAGCUGUGCUUCCACUGUGUCCUUUCUUGCUCAAGCCAAUGAGGUUUUUUUCCAAACCUCAUCUAACUGGAGUCACUACAUAAGAGCCCCAAUUAAGUUCCCAGAAAUUGGACAUCACAAUGAUAACUAACUUUAAUUGAGAAUUUACUAGAAGCCAGACCAUGUUAGUGCUCGGUGUGACCCAUUUCACUCAACCCUCAAGCCAACACUAGAAAGUAUUGUUCUUAUUUUACGAGUGAGGAAAAUGAAGCUCAGGGAGGUUCAGAAACUUGCCCAAGGACAAAUGGCCUGAGAUGGAGCUGGAAUGGGAAUCUGAAUCUGUUUCAUUUCAGAGCUGUCCUAAACUGCUUCCAAUGUCUGCGAAUAAAACUAGGAAAUGUCAACACACAAUGGAUGAGAAAGCUACAGCCAAGACUUGGGAACACUUGAGCCCAUUAAAGGGAAUUUAAUUGAUUGGUACCAGCAUACUAUGAUUCAGACUGGUGAGGUGAUACUUAAAUAUACCAGGGUCCCUUUUAAGGAGACAAUUUAAAUUUUGUCCUUCUGUAGUAUAUAAUCAAAAUGUAAUCAUAAGUUUAUUUUAGAUUAACAUAUAAUUAAAGGUAGCAUUAUACAGUUUUUAUAAAUAUUUAAUAACGCUCAUAAAGUAUACAUACUUUUUUACAUUUCCUCAUUUAAAUAG